Molecule: ribosomal RNA, 466 nt
Filed under: uncultured bacterium
Lineage: Bacteria
Description: partial 16S ribosomal RNA
Rfam family: Bacterial small subunit ribosomal RNA
Source: RNAcentral
AUGAACGCUGGCGGCGUGCUUAACCCAUGCAGGUCGAACGGUGAAGCAGAGCUUGCUCUGUGGAUCAGUGGCGAACGGGUGAGUAACACGUGAGCAACCUGCCCCUGACUCUGGGAUAAGCGCUGGAAACGGCGUCUAAUACUGGAUAUGAGCUGCGACCGCAUGGUCAGCAGUUGGAAAGACUUUUCGGUCUGGGAUGGGCUCACGGCCUAUCAGCUUGUUGGUGAGGUAAUGGCUCACCAAGGCGUCGACGGGUAGCCGGCCUGAGAGGGUGACCGGCCACACUGGGACUGAGACACGGCCCAGACUCCUACGGGAGGCAGCAGUGGGGAAUAUUGCACAAUGGGCGAAAGCCUGAUGCAGCAACGCCGCGUGAGGGAUGACGGCCUUCGGGUUGUAAACCUCUUUUAGCAGGGAAGAAGCGAAAGUGACGGUACCUGCAGAAAAAGCGCCGGCUAACUACGUG